Molecule: ribosomal RNA, 724 nt
Filed under: uncultured bacterium
Lineage: Bacteria
Description: bacterial SSU rRNA
Rfam family: Bacterial small subunit ribosomal RNA
Source: RNAcentral
UAGUCCACGCCGUAAACGAUGAAUACUAGGUGUAGGGGUUGUCAUGACCUCUGUGCCGCCGCUAACGCAUUAAGUAUUCCGCCUGGGGAGUACGGUCGCAAGAUUAAAACUCAAAGGAAUUGACGGGGGCCCGCACAAGCAGCGGAGCAUGUGGUUUAAUUCGAAGCAACGCGAAGAACCUUACCUAGACUUGACAUCUCCUGCAUUACUCUUAAUCGAGGAAGUCCCUUCGGGGACAAGAUGACAGGUGGUGCAUGGUUGUCGUCAGCUCGUGUCGUGAGAUGUUGGGUUAAGUCCCGCAACGAGCGCAACCCUUAUUGUUAGUUGCCAUCAUUAAGUUGGGCACUCUAGCGAGACUGCCCGGGUUAACCGGGAGGAAGGUGGGGAUGACGUCAAAUCAUCAUGCCCCUUAUGUCUAGGGCUACACACGUGCUACAAUGGUCGGUACAAUAAGACGCAAGCCCGCGAGGGGGAGCAAAACUAGAAAAACCGAUCUCAGUUCGGAUUGUAGGCUGAAACUCGCCUACAUGAAGCUGGAGUUGCUAGUAAUCGCGAAUCAGCAUGUCGCGGUGAAUACGUUCCCGGGCCUUGUACACACCGCCCCGUCACACCAUGAGAGUUGGCAAUACCCAAAGGUACGUGAUCUAACCCGCAAGGGAGGAAGCGUCCUAAGGUAGGGUCAGCGAUUGGGGUGAAGUCGUAACAAGGUAGCCGUAGGAGAACC